Molecule: RNA transcript, 7250 nt
Organism: Anopheles gambiae (African malaria mosquito)
Lineage: Eukaryota; Metazoa; Arthropoda; Insecta; Diptera; Culicidae
Gene: f
Gene name: espin
Exons: 12
Source: RefSeq, a predicted model, not a curated record
UGUGUGUCACAUAUAUGUGUGUUUGUGUGUGUGUCUGUGUUUGUGAGUGUGCGUAUGUUAAUUACACAAUGUAAUAUAUUAUAAUACAAGUGUGAACAGAUCAAUCUUCUUGGCAGUAUUUUUAAUCCCAGUGUAAAAACUCUGUUUCCCCUUUUCGACUAAACGGAAGUGAAUUCUUACGAAGUUAUGUUUUUCUGGUGAUAUAGGCUAAAAGCGUGUGUUUAUGUUAUACAAAUUUUCUUCCGAAAAGUGUUUGUUCGUUGAAUAGUGUGAAAAACGUUACGUCGUGUGGUAACAAAGUGUCGUUUCUUCCAAUCCGAAAAUCUACUGGCAGUUUGUAAACUUUUUGCAUUCCGUCUAUGUACGGGUAAUGAAAAAGCUCCUCGCGUGAUCAGGUUUUCGUCUAGCAAUCAACUCACAGCCUCAAUCAAGUGACAACCGAACUGUGUGGUUUUAAAAGUCCAUGCAAUUGCUUUUUGAUAAGGGGAAAAUUGGCGCACUCAACCAAACCUGCACGUAGAAGCAAAAAAGCAGAAAAUACAACAGCUUUACUUUUAUAGUUCAAGACUUCCUAGUUCAUCGUUCCAUUCCAGCCUAAAAGUGGAGUACUCUCUUGAUUACAAGGAAUCCAGAUAUAGACUUCAUCUGGAUUCAUCUCAUGCUCAAACAAUGACCUCAACUGAUCGUCCAGCCGGAGGUGCUCUAGCAUUGCACUACGCUGCAGCUCGUGGUUGUCUGGAUUGCGUUCGCUUACUAACUGAAGCUGCACCUGACAUUAGUGCUAAUACACAAAUGGACAAUGAUGUUACGCCAGUUUACUUGGCUGCGCAGGAAGGUCACCUGGAGGUUUUAAAGUUUCUUGUCCUUGAGGCAGGUGGAUCACUUUAUGUACGAGCUCGUGAUGGUAUGGCUGCCAUUCACGCUGCCUCGCAAAUGGGUUGUCUCGAUUGCCUUAAGUGGAUGAUUGAAGAUCAGGCGGUGGACCCAAAUCUACGUGAUGGUGAUGGUGCUACACCUUUACAUUUUGCAGCAUCGCGAGGACACUUGAGCGUGGUGCGAUGGUUAUUAAAUCAUGGUGCCAAAUUGUCACUGGAUAAAUAUGGAAAAAGCCCUAUCAAUGAUGCGGCUGAGAAUCAACAGGUCGAAUGUUUGAACGCAUUGAUACAGUAUGGAAAUAAAAAAGAAGGUAACAGAGUAGAGUCUCAGGAUAAUCAAUUGAUGCCUAGUCAGCACCGCUAUGCAUUAGAAGAUGCCUAUCAGUCUCAAGCAAUGCCAGAAUCAUCAGCAAAACAGACACGAACGCGUAAAGCCUUGGUUGGGACUCAUGCACACGCUGGAAAGGCACUCACUGCUGGUCAUGAUUAUAAUCACCAUAAUAACACGAUGAAAUCGUCAAAAUCUUCAACGGGCAGCUCAGAUUCCGAGCCGUUUUAUUUACAUCCUCCAACUAUAAGUAAAACAAAGGAUGGUUUGUAUUCUCGCCUCACACCAGAUAGCUAUUAUGACCCAGUGUUAUCAAAUGAUGGAGUCUAUGUGAAUCCUAUGCGUCAUGGGUCCACAACGCCACCCAGCCCGAGUGGCAGUGUUUCUGGAGAAUCCUUUUUUUUGCACGACCCCCAAGAUGUUAUUUACAACCGUGUCAAAGAUUUAUUUGAUGCAGAUAUUACUAUAAAGGAGGAUAAUGUCAACAAUAAUCGAUCAAUAGUGCUAGCGGAAGUACACUCUAGUAGCAGCGGAGCCGCCAGUGGUUCAGAUGAGGAUCUCUCCGUGUCUUCUUCGCAUUCCGAUGGCGAUGGCAUAGUUGGCAGUAGUGGAAUUUGUAAUGGUAGUAGUAUCGGUGGCAUUGCUAAAGAUAUAGGAGACGCAGGUGGAAAAUGUGACUCAGUAGUUGGUGUCAUCAACAACAAUCAAAAGUUAUCAAACGAUAACACAGCAAGCCAUGAGCAUGACUAUGAAGAUAUCUAUCUUAUGAGAGAUGAAACGCAGUUGGCGGGUAGUACCUCUACUAGAAAUGCAAUUGGGAGGAGCCGUUCUAGAGACAGUGGUUCCCAUAGUCGAUCGGCGAGUGCUAGCUCAAAUAGAAGUGAUAUUGCUCUACAGCUGACUGGCAACACUAAUGAUCAGUCGCUGGUGAACAAUAAUAAGGAACAUAUGCUGCUGGCGAAACGCAACAAUUUAUUGCAUGAACAUCGACGAAACCAACAUGAGGCGAAGCUUCUUUCAAAAUCAAUGUACACCAUGGGCAAGAGCAACAUUGACCCGAGUCAAACAUUUUCUGGAGCUGCUUCGCAGCGUAAGCAUGCCGAAGACUAUCCCAUAAGUACAAUCCGUUCUUCUUGCACCAUAGAUAAUGCCUACGAAAGUGUAUGUUCACCUGAGGAUGUAUACGAGAGAACAGCAGAUAUGGAAAUUGAUGUGAAACAGCUGAAACGCUCCCAAUCUCACCAGUUUCUUAAUUUAUUAGCCAACUCUAAUAUUUCACGGGAAACAAAUGGAACAACCGUUAUUAUAAAUAGUGUCACUAACGGAACAGAUACACAUUCAACAACUAUGUCCACAUCGCCAUCGUCAGCCAAACAAAUCGAAGAAACACAAAUUGAAGGAAAAGAAAAUACAGGACCUCCACCCCCUCCACUACCUCCACCAUUAAAAGCAAGCAGCUAUGGUAAUAGCGGACAUAAACCAAUUCAUGUUGCAGCUGCUGCAUCAGGCGCAACAGCACCAAUUGCAUCUUCUCGACACUCAACAGACCAGCAGAUCGGUGCAACAUAUGGCGAACAACAAAAGUACCUGAAUGGUAUACACAAAUUCGUUCUUUUCCGUGAAGGAGACAGUCACGAAGAAUGCGCAGAAUUGAACAGAUCACAACAUCAUGAUUCAGAUUCCGGACUAGAAGUAUUAGAAGAAUCUACUCUCAAACCAUCAGAUCUGAUUCGUGGGAACCACAAUCGUAGCAUGUCAACUAUUACAGCGAAUAAGAAAGCCAAACUAAUUCAAGCCAACGGCUGUGGUGAAGGUAAUGGUGGCGGAUACAACCUACAUAGUCAAUGUGCACCUGAAAAUAGCUCACCAUACGGCUCCAAGGCAUCCCGCGCCGCACCAGUAGCGUCAGUCGACGUCCAGCUCUGCCAUCAGCAACAUCACCAUCAACCGCGGCUUGUUAACGUCCAGCCAGUAACACCAAACAACCUUCAGCAUCAGGGACCUAACUUGGUGAAUAAGCAGUUGGUCCUACCAUUUGUGCCACCCAGUUUUCCAAAUGGUACAAGUGACGGCUCGAACCAUCUGAUCAAACCAUCAGAAUAUUUAAAAAGCAUCAGUGACAAAAAAUCAAAUGCAGGCUCGCAAAGAUCAUCUGAUACUGAGGAAUAUAUGCCAUUGAACACUGCCCUCAUUGUGCAGGCGGGAUCGGAGCCACCGAAACCGCCCCCGCCACCACCAGCGCCCCCUCUUCUCAACCACAAUAACGCUACAAUCGCUGGCACGGCAACCCUAAACUCCACUCUGCCGCAUAACAAUACAGCAGGCGGGACCCGAUUAGGCGAACCAGCAUCCAGCGAGAAGGCACAACGCAGCGGAGUGCAUCCACCGCCUCCUCCACCACCCCAAGACACAAAUAUUCGCAAACUACACCAGCCGCUCUCGGCCAUCUCUAUUCAAGACUUAAACAGCGUUCAGCUACGACGGACUGACAAGAUGCUCGCCAAAACUUACUCAGCUCCAACACGCAGUAUAAGCAUGCAGUGUUUAUCAAGCACCACCGAACAAUUCCUUUCUCAGAAGACCGACCUAAUAGCUGAGUUAAAGUUAUCGAAGGACAUUGCUGGAGUGAAGAAGAUGAAAGUGGAGCGAGCUAAACUCGAAGAUCGCCAAGCGACUGAAGUUUACUCAGAAGUAACACGUCAGUUCACCGCUCAGAACUAUGUUGAUCAGUAUUCGCAUAAUUAAUUAAAGGAUUAAGAAGGGAAUGAAUCGCUCCCACGAGUACAUCGACUUAUGGUUGAGGAAUACUUGAUACACACUACAUAGGAUAAAAAGCAACAAAAAGGUUUAAAAUCACUGGACCAGAUUAUUUAUUAUUACAUGUAUUGUGCACUUCUGUAUUGUCCACUUCAUAACAUUAUGCACGUAUUGAAUGUUGUAUUAAAUAGUAUUGAAGGGUUUCUAGUAGUAUCUCCUACUCGAAAUCUUUUGAUUUGUUUUAUUGUAAAUCAUAAUGUUCUAUGAAUAAUAUUUAUUUUCAUUCUUGUUUUGCGUCAUAACGAUCACUUGCUAUAUUUUUGAGGGUUUUUCAAAAAGUUUCAAGUUAUAAUUUGCGCUGUAAUAGUUGUUCGUUAGGUGCUAUAACUCUAACUACAAAAACUAUGGGUAAAAAAUCGAGCGCAAAGCAUCUUUCAAGCAAGGGCGCAGGAGCUAUGAACGAUGUUAUAAAACUUAGAGCCAUCUUGUGCCAUGUUGAGCAUUUAAAGUAAUAACUCUUUAAAACUUGUUUAUCAAAAGCUGAUUUAAAUCACAUAUCCAUUUUAAACAUGUUUCCUCGCUUAUAAAUGAAUUUCGCUAGAAAUAAGUGAAAGCAAAACUAUUUUUGAAGCGUGUUAAAAAGGGUCGAAAAAGAUGUUUUGUUAACUCAAUGGGGCAAGAUUGCCACCCGUAUGGGGCAUACGGCCACCUUGUUAAAGUAAACAUAUUUUUUUGAUAAUUGGAGAUUUUUACGUCCGUAGUGUAUGGGGUGGCUGUAGUGUAUAUAUUCAUACAUGUCUCAAGUCACCAAUGAACCGCUUUUGAUCACAAACUGUGCCGCAAUAUGGAAGUUGCUUGUCUGUUUUUCCGGGGUGGGAUCCGUUCAUAAAAGCGCACAAUACCGCUGCACGCCACAACAAUGUUUACAUUUUUGACAGCUCGCGCCUAGGAAAAAUGGUGGCAUUGCAAUCGCCCUAGGUAGCUCUUUUGCCCCAAAAGUUGUAAACUGUAAUUUGUUGCUCAAUUAUAAAACUCAAUAUAAAAAAGUUUAAAACAAUGGUAAACAUCGAGAAAUCGAUAUGAAAUUCGACACAGUAUACCUUGUCAUUGGAACGCAACCAUCGGUUUACACAAUUGGUCAUUUAACUACACUUUUUAUGACGAAAAAAAGAUUGGUGGCACUCUUGCUCCUAUGGCACACGUGCCCCAAAUUCCUCUACGCGUGCCCCAAAUCCCCCACAAUCGGCCGAUGGAUAUGGCAGGUACGUGUAGUUUGGCUGUGAAACUGUCGCGAUUGCGAGGGAUGCGGAUACGAUUGCAAACUGGUCGAUUUGUUUUGUGGGACACUUGUAAAAAAAAUCACAAAAUCCCAAAUCUUCUCAAAGGUAAAAUUCGCCACCAAUUUCAUUCAAAUACAGGGGUUUCCCAAUAAAUUUCCAAUGUCAACAUCAUAUUGCUGCACCUUCUUGCCAGAUCCUGUAAAACAAACUCGACCCGUCUGCGAGCUCCCAGGAGGCCUCGCAAUCAUAACAGCUCCGCAAGCGCCCUCGCAAGAAAGCUCCUUGCGAGAGCAAGUCAUGUUUAGGUGAUAGUUUCAGCGGUUAAAAUUAUAGCAUCUAUAACAUAACAAUAGAUUUUAAUUUUUUCUACAUUAUUUUAAAACAACUUAAAGAACUGCUUAACUAGUUUAGUGCUAGUCCAGUUUAGUUUUUUUUAACAUGUGGAAGAACUGAACAUUUUUUUAAACAUGUGGAAACGCCUCGCUAGAAUCGUAGAUGCGUGCCCCAGACAUGACCUCAUAAUCAUCCUGGAGGACUUCAACGCAAAAGUCGGUAGGGAGCCAAUGUACCGCCAAUACACUGGCUGUCACAGUCUGCAUGAACACAGUAACGAUAAUGGUAGUAGAUUGGUCCAGUUCGCCGCAGCGAACAAUCUAGUUGUAGGAAGUACCAAAUUAAAGCAAGAAGAAAAUCCUCACGGUUACAUGGGCGCACCCUGGUGGAGAAUCCUUCAACCAGAUCGACCACGUGUUAAUAAGCUGCCGACGACAGUCGAGUCUGUUAAAUGUCAGAACAUAUCGAGGAUAUGGAAUCGAAUCGAGGAAUAUGGAUUCCGAUCACUACUUGGUUGGCUUAGUGACGUUGUAGAAUUGCCCGCCCCCGUGCCAAUGGGGGCAGGGAAAACACGCAGCCUCGGCUCAACACGGACUCUCUAAGGGACAUUACUGUCCAACAGAAAUUCAAAGCCGCUUUAGACGAGUCUCUACUACCAGAAAACAGUUAUGAAACUACGAGCGAGAGGUGGAACGCUCUAAAAACAAAAAUAAUAAACUGUGCAAGAAAUAUACUCCCACCACGUCGUGGCAACACCAAAUCUGGCUGGUUCGACGAUGAAUGCAGACAGGUGACCGAACGUAAGAAUACUGCAUACCGAGCAAUUUAGCAAUGGCAUAGAACGCGGGCAUGCGCAGAGGAAUAUUCACGGCUCAGACGCGAAGAGAAAAGAGUUCACCGCUCUAAGAAGCAUGCUUUGGAAGAGCAAAACAUGCGGGAACUCGAGCAAACCAGAGAGGCGUACGGACCGACACGAAAGUUUUACCAAGCGAUAGCAGGUCAUCGAAACAACGUUGUACCUAAGGUAACCUGCUGUCGCAACAAGGAUGGAGAUCUGGUCAGUAACCAGCCAGAGGUCCUCUCGCCGUGGGCUCAGUACUUUGAUGAAUUACUCAAUGACCAGUUUAGCGAACAGCUAGAAGCGCCACUAGCAGAUAGUGUCAUGCUACUGCCACUUAGCAUAGAAGAAACACGAAAGGCUAUCCGUCGGCUGAAAAAUAACAAGGCACCCGGAACCGACGGAAUUGCAGCCGAACUGGUCAAGAAUGGAGGUGCACGACUAGAAAACGAGAUUCAUCAAAUUGUUACUGAGGUGUGGGAUAGCGAAUCGAUGCCUUAUGAUUGAAAUCUCGGCAUCAUCUACCCCAUAUACAAGAAGGGAGACAGGUUGGACUGCAACAACUACAUGGGUAUUACGGUGUUGAAUACCGCCUAUAAAAUACUCUCCCUGAUCCUUCAGGAUCGCCUUGUCCCGCACGUCGAAGAGAUAGUCGGAAACUAUCAAAGAGGAUUCCGAAACGGAAAAUCAACCACUGAUCAGAGGCCCGAUUAUUAAACACAAACGGAAACGACACAGGACAAGUGCGUCAAGACAAACGGAAAAUAGCCUUAUCAUACAGCUGAUAAGAUUUUUCAGGUACCUGAGCGCGAUAAUGCUGGAAAUGUAAUUCCCGAUUG